Molecule: transfer RNA, 75 nt
Filed under: Calditrichota bacterium
Lineage: Bacteria; Pseudomonadati; Calditrichota
Description: Calditrichaeota bacterium tRNA-Glu
Rfam family: tRNA
About the family: Transfer RNA (tRNA) molecules are approximately 80 nucleotides in length.
Source: RNAcentral
GGCCCCUUCGUCUAGUGGUUAGGACUCAGGACUUUCAUUCCUGCAACAGGGGUUCAAACCCCCUAGGGGUCACAA